Molecule: transfer RNA, 84 nt
Filed under: Daphnia galeata
Lineage: Eukaryota; Metazoa; Arthropoda; Branchiopoda; Diplostraca; Daphniidae
Rfam family: tRNA
About the family: Transfer RNA (tRNA) molecules are approximately 80 nucleotides in length. Their secondary structure includes four short double-helical elements and three loops (D, anti-codon, and T loops). Further hydrogen bonds mediate the characteristic L-shaped molecular structure. tRNAs have two regions of fundamental functional importance: the anti-codon, which is responsible for specific mRNA codon recognition, and the 3' end, to which the tRNAs corresponding amino acid is attached (by aminoacyl-tRNA synthetases). tRNAs cope with the degeneracy of the genetic code in two manners: having more than one tRNA (with a specific anti-codon) for a particular amino acid; and 'wobble' base-pairing, i.e. permitting non-standard base-pairing at the 3rd anti-codon position.
Source: Rfam by way of RNAcentral
ACCAGGUUGGCCGAGUGGUUUAAGGCGCCAGACUUAAGAUCUGGUCUCCGAUUGGAGGCGUGGGUUCGAACCCCACACGUGGUA